Molecule: ribosomal RNA, 460 nt
Filed under: uncultured bacterium
Lineage: Bacteria
Description: partial 16S ribosomal RNA
Rfam family: Bacterial small subunit ribosomal RNA
Source: RNAcentral
CCUACGGGAGACAGCAGUGAGGAAUAUUGGUCAAUUGGCGCAAGCCUGAACCAGCCAAGUCGCGUGAGGGAAGACGGCCCUACGGGUUGUAAACCUCUUUUGCCGGGGAGCAAGCCUGAGCACGUGUGCCCAGGCGGAGAGUACCCGGAGAAAAAGCAUCGGCUAACUCCGUGCCAGCAGCCGCGGUAAUCCGGAGGAUGCGAGCGUUAUCCGGAUUUAUUGGGUUUACGGGUGGCGCAGGCGGGCUGUUAAGCCGGCGGUAAAAAUUCAGGGCUCAAACCUGUCGAGCCGUCGGAACUGGCAGUCUUGAGUGGGCGAGAAGUAUGCGGAAUGCGUGGGGUAGCGGUGAAAUGCAUAGAUAUCACGCAGAACGCAGAGUGCGAAGGAAGCAUACCGGCGCCCAACUGACGCUGAGGCACGAAAGCGUGGGGAUCGAACAGGAUUAGAUACCCGAGUAGGC